UGGCGGUGGAGAUGCUGGCGAUGGCACUGGCGGUGGAGAUGCUGGCGAUGGCGGUGGAGAUGCUGGCGAUGGCGGUGGAGAUGCUGGCGAUGGCGGUGGAGAUGCUGGCGAUGGCAGUGGCGGUGGAGAUGCUGGCGAUGGCAGUGGCGAUGCUGGCGAUGGCACUGGCGGUGGAGAUGCUGGUGAGGAGGGGGAUGCAAAGCCCACAGGAACUGAAACUGAUGGUGAUGAAGAGUUUAGUUUAUGUGGGAUGCGGGGUAAUUCCUCAACAUGUAACCUCAAAUGGUCAACAUUUAUUUUGGGGAAUGUUAUACCCCUUUCAUCUACAAGGUCUGCACUUUUGCCUUCCAAUACAGUGAUUGUAUAGGGACCAAUUCAGUUUGCCACCCUUACGUUGUUGGCUCCUUUUAAUUUCCCUCCACACUCUGUCCCCCCCUCUGAAAUUCUUUCUUUGUGCUUUCUUUUGUUUUGUUUAUUGCCUUAUCUUUUCCUGUGAAGCUCUGUUAUUUAUAUGAGCCUCAGUCAAAACCUCACUGAUGGCAAUAGCCGAUUCAGUUAAUUCCUCAAUUGAC
Long non-coding RNA from Cyprinus carpio carpio, 572 nucleotides. Lineage: Eukaryota; Metazoa; Chordata; Actinopteri; Cypriniformes; Cyprinidae. The record is from Ensembl.